Molecule: ribosomal RNA, 954 nt
Filed under: Cyprinus sp. TAS-2017
Lineage: Eukaryota; Metazoa; Chordata; Actinopteri; Cypriniformes; Cyprinidae
Description: partial large subunit ribosomal RNA
Source: RNAcentral
ACCCGCUGAAGCUGCAAGCCCAGAGAAUUCUGACAGACAAGGUGUUGUUAUGCGCCCAGCGCAUCUAUCAUUUCAGUGCACGGUGCUCGUGUGUUUUCCGAAAUGGCGGGCCCAACUGUCAAUGGUUGGGAUUUGCGUACCGGUAGGUAGCCGGAGCAUGCUAGUCGUCUGUUGGACUGCCUGGCCGAUGCACUUUCUCUGGUGGUGAACACCACGACCGGUGGUACUGCCAGUCUGCUGUAGCCAGCUUCGGCGCAUGUUCUGGCCUCGGCUAGGGCGUGUGACGAUCACAGACAAUUUCAGUGCACGGUGCUCGGGUGUUUUCCGCAUGCGGGCAUGUUAUCGGGAACUGGUUGUAAACGGGUCGGCCCUGGCUGCACUCUGUAGUCACGGUUGACAGGUGACCCGGUGGGCUACAGUGGUAUGAAUAACUGUGCAGGGGACCGGAGUUUUCGGUCCGACCGGUGAUGGUCGCUUGCGACUGUUGCCGCUGGCUGCACACGCACUACAGUUCGGCGUGUGUUUCUGCUGCUGAUGCAGUAGUAGUACGGAUGAUGCUGCUACGGCCUGCCAGUCGUUGGGUCUGAUUGUCGUGUCGCCUGCCAAAAUGGCGGGUCCGGCAGUCGUCUGGCGUUGGAUGGGUAUGAAUAACUGUGCAGGCAUUGUGCGGCCAGGAUUAGUGUACGCGACCUCAUAGUCUGUGGUGUAGUGGUAGACGAGCUACCCGACCCGUCUUGAAACACGGACCAAGGAGUUUAACAUGCGCGCGAGUCAUUGGGUCCUACGAAACCCAGAGGCGCAGUGAAAGUGAAGCCUCGACAUGUAUUGUUCUCGGGGUGUGGUGAGAUCCUGCUGUUUCUCGCAUACAUUUGGCUAGCACUGGGCUAUCUAAUCGAGCAGACUGUUGCCGACGCACUACACCCAUGAGGUCCCGUACGAGUGGAUGUGUCCGUA